GCUCCCGUAACGGAACUGGAAUACGUGCUAGGUCGAGAGCCUAGAUUAUGCAGGUUCAAAUCCUGUCGGGAGUACCA
RNAcentral lists this transfer RNA (77 nucleotides) under Geitlerinema splendidum. RNAcentral's name for it is "tRNA-Leu". It matches the Rfam family "tRNA". From Rfam's summary of the family: Transfer RNA (tRNA) molecules are approximately 80 nucleotides in length. The record is from RNAcentral. Lineage: Bacteria; Bacillati; Cyanobacteriota; Cyanophyceae; Geitlerinematales; Geitlerinemataceae.